GCAUUAAUGGGGUAGUGGUAACCUGGGUCGUUGCCAUGCGUCUGUAGCUCGACCCGCCGGGGGUUCGAUUCCCCCUUAAUGCA
Molecule: non-coding RNA, 83 nt
Organism: Mucidula mucida
Lineage: Eukaryota; Fungi; Basidiomycota; Agaricomycetes; Agaricales; Physalacriaceae
Source: the annotation of a GenBank genome assembly